This 497-nucleotide ribosomal RNA is filed under the name uncultured bacterium. RNAcentral describes it as "partial 16S ribosomal RNA". It matches the Rfam family "Bacterial small subunit ribosomal RNA", at positions 28 to 507 of the family's 1533-position model. The record is from RNAcentral.
GAUGAACGCUGGCGGCGUGCCUAAUACAUGCAAGUCGAGCGAACAGACGAGGAGCUUGCUCCUCUGACGUUAGCGGCGGACGGGUGAGUAACACGUGGAUAACCUACCUAUAAGACUGGGAUAACUUCGGGAAACCGGAGCUAAUACCGGAUAAUAUAUUGAACCGCAUGGUUCAAUAGUGAAAGACGGUUUUGCUGUCACUUAUAGAUGGAUCCGCGCCGCAUUAGCUAGUUGGUAAGGUAACGGCUUACGAAGGCGACGAUGCGUAGCCGACCUGAGAGGGUGAUCGGCGCCACUGGAGCUGAGACACGGUCCAGACUCCUACGGGAGGCAGAAGUAGGGAAUCUUCCGAAAUGGGCGAAAGCCUGCCGGAGCAACGCCGCGUGAGUGAUGAAGGUCUUCGGAUCGUAAAACUCUGUUAUUAGGGAAGACCAAAUGUGUAAGUAACUAUGCACGUCUUGACGGUACCUAAUCAGAAAGCCACGGCUAACUACGUG